Molecule: ribosomal RNA, 450 nt
Filed under: Fistularia corneta
Lineage: Eukaryota; Metazoa; Chordata; Actinopteri; Syngnathiformes; Fistulariidae
Description: partial 16S ribosomal RNA
Rfam family: Bacterial large subunit ribosomal RNA
Source: RNAcentral
AGGGCUUAACUGUCUCCUCCCCCCAGUCAAUGAAAUUGAUCUUCCCGUGCAGAAGCGGGAAUGUACCCAUAAGACGAGAAGACCCUAUGGAGCUUUAGACAUACGGCAGCCUAUGUUAAGCACCCCUAAUAAAGCCUCGAAACAAAGUAGGCCCUGCCUGAAUGUCUUUGGUUGGGGCGACCGCGGGGACAUACAAAACCCCCACGUGGAAUGGGAGCACCUCUCCCAGAACCAAGAGCCACAGCUCUAAGCAACAGAAUUUCUGACCAGCGAGAUCCGGUACAUCCGAUCAACGGACCGAGUUACCCUAGGGAUAACAGCGCAAUCCCCUUUCAGAGUCCCUAUCGACAAGGGGGUUUACGACCUCGAUGUUGGAUCAGGACAUCCUAAUGGUGCAGCCGCUAUUAAGGGUUCGUUUGUUCAACGAUUAAAGUCCUACGUGAUCUGAGU